UACGUAGGGGGCGAGCGUUGUCCGGAAUCAUUGGGCGUAAAGAGCUCGUAGGCGGUUCAGCAAGUCGGCUGUGAAAUUCCGAGGCUCAACCUCGGAACUGCAGUCGAUACUGCUGUGACUCGAGUCCGGUAGAGGAGAAUGGAAUUCCCGGUGUAGCGGUGAAAUGCGCAGAUAUCGGGAGGAACACCAGUAGCGAAGGCGGUUCUCUGGGCCGGUACUGACGCUGAGGAGCGAAAGCAUGGGGAGCAAACAGG
RNAcentral lists this ribosomal RNA (254 nucleotides) under uncultured bacterium. Its description in RNAcentral is "partial 16S ribosomal RNA". It matches the Rfam family "Bacterial small subunit ribosomal RNA", at positions 524 to 776 of the family's 1533-position model. The record is from RNAcentral.